This 89-nucleotide microRNA precursor is filed under the name Procavia capensis (Cape rock hyrax). RNAcentral's name for it is "miRNA (ENSPCAG00000020276.1)". The record is from RNAcentral. Lineage: Eukaryota; Metazoa; Chordata; Mammalia; Hyracoidea; Procaviidae.
CCGGACGGCCUUCCUCAAGAGCGCAGAAUGGUCAUGUCCACCAGCCAAGGCAGGCUGGGCUGUGCAGGUGGCCACCUGGGUGAGCCUGC